AGUGGAAAUCUCAGCCAUUCAGUGUUUGGGUGAAGACGGAGGCGGGUUCUGGACAGACCUACGCUGUCGGGGAGUGUUUACUUCGCCUCCACUUCUGUUCCUCCCCGCCCUGGUGCUGCUCCAGGUCACAUACUCUUCCUGAGCCGGCUUCAGCCUCUCCGCGCAGAAGUCUCCCGGAGCCAUGGCCUAGUAUUCUUAUGUGAAGUCUACCAAGCUUGUGCUCAAGGGAACCGAGGUGAAGAGCUGGGUCCUGCAGCUCCGGCGGGAGCCUCCUCAGUUCUUUUCGGACGCACUCCACCCCCGCGAAUCCGGUGGAAGCCGUGAUGCGGAGAGCCGGCUUCGUGGCCUCCCAGGCUUCGCUCUGACCCUGUCUGGGCUGGAUGGAGGCCGGACCGCCCUUCCUGGCGCCUGUGCAGAGAGGGGCAGCCUCCUGCGCGGACGACCCUGGAAACAGGAUAGACGGGCGGGUGACCCGUGACCCCGUACCCACGAGUUUGGGUCCCUUGAGGCAUCUCUCCAGGCCUCUGCCUGAUUUGCCUGAGGUUGACUGUACAUGCAAAUAUUGAGCUUUCCUCCUGGCCUCCGUGAUAAACAGAAGUUUUGAUAUUGUUAGGCGAGAUGGAAAGAAAGUAUCAAGGAGUGAGCUGAAGCCACUGCCCUUGAGAACCCUCUCGAGGAGUCUGGCCUCAUGAAGAUGCCAGAAUAAAUGGCAGUAAGAAGAAAAAGAGCAAAGAUAAGAAGAGAAAAAGAGAAGAUGAAGAAACCCAGCUUGAUAUGUUGAGGAACGCAGCUGCUCACCAGCAACGGAACAAAGCUGGACGGAGAAUGACUUUGAAGAGCUGAGAGAAGGCUUCAGACGAUCAAAUUACUCUGAGCUACGGGAGGACAUUCAAACCAAAGGCAAAGAAGUUGAAAACUUUGAAAAAAAUAAAUGUACAUUAAUUAACGUGGAAUCUGGUGAACAGUAACAAACUUUGGUGAAAUUUCAGGAACCAUAGCCAUUGAAGUGGAUGAGGGAACCUAUAUACAUGCACUCAACAAUGGUCUUUUUACCCUGGGAGCUCCACACAAAGAAGAAUCGCCCUGAAACCUGGCUAUGGAAAAUAUCUUAGUAUAAAUUCAGAUGAACUUGUUGUUGGCGUUCAGAUGCAAUUGGACCAAGAGAACAAUGGGAACCAGUCUUUCAAAAUGGUGCCUGUGCAGCAGUAUUCACUGUGAUAGGAAGUGAGAAGCAGUCUGAGUGUUCAUUGCUGAGGGAAUCAAGGGCAAAAUAUCAUGGAUGCACUCAUGGACAAAUAAGCAGCAGUUUGAAGCAACACCCUAGAUGGAUGUACAGCCAUCAAGAGGAUCUUAAAGUGUGGUCUUUAGUGGAAAAAAAGGUUACAUUUGAACAUAUUUAUCUGCUAAAGCGAAAUGUUUCCCAUCAUUCUAUAGCAGAAGCAAUGUAUGGGAGACUGAGUAAUUACAUAUGAGCUCACAUCACUAUCUCUUCCACCACUGUCAUCCAUCAUGACUGAUCUGGGAGAUGAAACAGCACAGAUCUAAAGGACGUGGAAGAAAGAAGCUUAUAAAGUGUCCAUCAUGAGAAUCCACCUGGGACCUACACAACAGAUCAAAUACCCAGAACAAAUCACCACGUCAGAGCCCCACAGAAUUCUGAUUCCCAACCAACAAGCAUGAGUAAUCCUUUUAAAUGGUCACUUACAUAUCAGAACAGGUCCUUUGUGAAAUUUCUAAGCAAGGCCUCUGGUUUCUGACUGAAACAGAGAUUUAUUGAGAAGGAGGGGUAAAGUGAAAUCAAGAACUGCUGGGAAAUUUCCACAAGAAACAAGGACAAAUGGUUUUUGUUGUCAGAGUAAAACCAGCCUCCCCUAGCCAUGGUUUGGAAAGUUAUUUGCUAGCCCACAGGGGACAAUAUUCUCAACUGGUUUAUCAGGGACCCUUUUGAUCCAAUUAUAGUUAUUGGGCAGAUACAGUAGUACCCUAUUAUCAGAAGACCUAGUUUCAAAUCCUGAGUCAACUUCUAAUUCACUGUGUGACCUUGUACAAGUCACUUAAGCUCUCUGAUCAUUGGUUCAACAUCUUUAAUAUGAGGAGAGUAAUGCCUAUCUCAAUUACCUCAUAAAAUUAUUGCAAAGA
Homo sapiens (human) is the source of this 2139-nucleotide long non-coding RNA. NCBI's taxonomy places the organism in Eukaryota, Metazoa, Chordata, Mammalia, Primates, Hominidae. The record is from Ensembl.